GAUGAACGCUAGCUACAGGCUUAACACAUGCAAGUCGAGGGGAAACGACAUCGAAAGCUUGCUUUUGAUGGGCGUCGACCGGCGCACGGGUGAGUAACGCGUAUCCAACCUGCCCCACCACUUGGGGGAUAACCUUGCGAAAGUAAGACUAAUACCCGAUGAUAUCUCUAGACGACAUCUGAAAUGAAUUAAAGAUUUAUCGGUGAUGGAUGGGGAUGCGUCUGAUUAGCUUGUUGGCGGGGUAACGGCCCACCAAGGCGACGAUCAGUAGGGGUUCUGAGAGGAAGGUCCCCCCACAUUGGAACUGAGACACGGUCCAAACUCCUACGGGAGGCAGCAGUGAGGAAUAUUGGUCAAUGGGCGAGAGCCUGAACCAGCCAAGUAGCGUGCAGGAAGACGGCCCCUAUGGGUUGUAAACUGCUUUUAUAGGGGAAUAAAGUGAGCCACGUGUGGUUUUUUGCAUGUACCCUAUGAAUAAGGACCGGCUAAUUCCGUG
RNAcentral lists this ribosomal RNA (496 nucleotides) under uncultured bacterium. RNAcentral describes it as "bacterial SSU rRNA". It matches the Rfam family "Bacterial small subunit ribosomal RNA", at positions 28 to 507 of the family's 1533-position model. The record is from RNAcentral.